AAACAGAGCAAAUUAAGAAGAAAAUCCAAGUUUAAAACUUUAUUUUAGAUCAAUAGAUUAAUACAAGUUGAAAGGUUCCUUCUAAUAGUUGUGUUUCUUUAUGUUUUAUGAAAAAUUAUUCGCCUUGUGAGGUCCACCACAAUGACUGAUCCAACCAAUGAGCUGAUCCGAAGUCCACCCACCACUUGUUGUGUAUGAAGUAAAGCGAAAAACUAGAAGCAACUCAAUAGGUUGACUUUAGCCGACCAGAUCCAGCGCUCUGUUCUCUCCAUUGCCAUUUGCUUUACCAAACCUACUGCUACGGGUUCUCUCCAUUGCCCUUUCUUUGAUCAAUCUCUUUGUGGAUUGCAAAUUCUGAAGAAAACAUGGCUGUUGAAUUGGCGGGUGGAGCUCUUCUUUCUGCUACCCUUCGAGUGGUGUUUGAUAGGCUGGCUCGUCGUGAGGUGGUGGACUACCUGCGUGGAAAGAAACUCAGUGAUCAGCUCAUCAACAAUUUGAGGACUGUCCUAUCAGCUGUUAAUUCUGUGCUCGAUGAUGCAGAGUUGAAGCAAAACAUCAACCCCAACAUCAAGCAGUGGCUGGACGAGCUUGAAAAUGCUUCCUACGAUGCAGACGAUCUGUUGGAUGAGAUUGAAACUCAUGCCCUUCAAUCUAAUUUAAAAGAUGAAUCAACAAAGUCGUCUAAAGCAAGUAAGUUAUUCAAACAUUCUAUUUCCAUUUCUUUCCGUUCAUAUAAUCGAGAUAUGAAGAAGAAGCUGAAGGAGAUUCUUCAAAGGUUGAAAUUUCUUGAAGAACGAAUAUAUGUGCUUGGUCUUAUAAAGGGUGUUGGCGAAAAACCAUCACCAAGACCACCGACCACAUCUUUGACAGAAGAAUCUGAGGUCUACGGUAGAGAUGCUGAUAAGGAGGCCAUAAUCAAGUUGUUGCUUACAGAUGAUGAUCAUGAGGGUAGGAAUAAGGUGUCUGUGAUUCCAAUAGUAGGCAUGGGUGGCAUUGGCAAAACCACCCUUGCUCAAUCAGUAUACAACGAUCAUGCAGUUGAGAAGCACUUUAACUUCAAAUCAUGGGUUUGUGUUUCUGAAGAGUUUGACAUUUGCAAUGUAACGAAAACAGUCCUCUGUGCUGUAACUAAGUCUCAUUCUCAUUCUUAUGAUGACUCAAACUUGGAUUUGCUUCAAACUGAAUUGAAAGAGGGGCUAACCGGAAAAAAAUUCUUAAUUGUUUUAGACGAUGUGUGGAACGAGGAUUAUAUUGAUUGGAAGAAAAUGUGUACACCUUUUAAUUAUGGGGCUCAAGGAUGUAAGAUUAUUGUAACAACACGCAAUGAAAACGUUGCAGACAUCACGGGCACUAUUCCAACUCAUUAUCAUCUUGAGCACUUGAAAGAUGAAGAUUGCUGGAAACUGUUUGAAAAGCAUGCAUUUGACAAAAUUAGAGAUUCUGGUGUAUGUCAAGUCCUGGAAAAAAUUGGUCGAGGAAUUGCCAAGAAAUGCAAUGGCUUGCCCUUAGCUGCAAAAUCACUUGGAGGCCUCUUGCGCUCUAAAGAAGAUAUCAAUGAAUGGGAAAGAGUAUUAAAGAGUGAGAUUUGGGAUUUUUCAUAUAAAGAGACUAAAAUUCUACCAGCUUUGUUGUUAAGCUACAACUACCUUCCAUCACACCUAAAGCGAUGUUUUGCUUUUUGUUCAAUGUUCCCCAAGGACUAUGAAUUCCAGAAGCAUGAAUUGGUCUUAUUGUGGAUGGCAGAAAAUCUUUUGCGUCAAUCAAAAAGAGAUAAGAGAAUGGAAGAUAUAGGUGAUGAAUAUUUUAACGAGUUAGUGUUAACAUCAUUUUUCCAAAGAUCAAGUAAUGUUAGUGCAUCUUCCUGGGAAUACUCAUUUGAAGUGGAAAAAUCUUUCUUUGUGAUGCAUGAUCUUGUUCAUGAUUUAGCCAGAUAUGUAUCCGGGGAAUAUUGUUUUACAUUAGAAGAUGGCAACUCAAAUGAAAAGGCGAUGAGGGUGCGUCAUCUAGGUGUUGCAACAGUUGUUUCCUCACAGAGAUUUGGUACUAUUUCUGAAUCAACUCAUUUGCGCACACUUUUACCAUUAGACAGUUAUUCAUUUCGCAACUUAUUCAAUGAAGUAGUGAACAACGUAAUUUUGAAGUUGAGGUGUUUGAGAGUAUUGUCAUUGUUUGGUUGUAAAAAUUUGACGCAGUUAAGUGAAUCAAUUGGUGAACUAAAGCAUCUUCGUUUCCUUAAUCUCUCUGAAACUUCAAUCAAAAGAUUGCCCAAUUCUGUGUGUAAGUUGUACAAUUUACAAAUUUUAAAUUUAUCAUGGUGUCAUGGACUCAUUGAGUUGCCUGAAGAUAUGCAUCAUCUUAUCAACUUGAGGCAUCUUGAUAUCAGUUAUUGUUUUGAUUUAGUAGAGAUGCCAAGACAAUUGAGUAAAUUGAAGAGUCUCCUGACGUUGACAUAUUUUGUUGUGGGAAAAGAUAAUAAGGCAAAGAUAGGAGAGUUGAGGGAGCUUUCAGAUCUCCAUGGAGAACUUGACAUUAGAAAUUUACAGAAUGUCCCAAGUGCUGAGGAUGCAUUCGAAGCCAAGUUGAUGGACAAAAACAAUCUUGAGGGGUUGCUGUUGUUUUGGAAUGGCAAUUCUAAUGAUUCAAAUCAUGACGAAGAAGUACUUAAAAAUCUAUUGCCUCACACGAAUUUGAAAAUGCUUUACAUACAUGGAUAUGGAGGUCCUUCAUUCCCAAACUGGUUAGGUGAUGUAUCAUUCUGCAAUACAGUCUAUAUACGACUUGGCGAGUGUAAAUAUUGCAAGUGCUUGCCACCACUUGGACAGCUACCCUCCCUCAAAACUCUGUAUAUUGAAGGACUUAGUGGAGUGGUGACUGUGGGUGCAGAGUUUUAUGGGAUUAAUGGUUCUAAUUCUGCGAGAAAGGCAUUUUCAUCACUGGAAUUUUUGCGUUUCUCUAAUUUGGCAGCCUGGCAAGAAUGGUGUUCAGUUGGAGUUGACGAUGGUGAAAUCUUCCCUAAACUCCAAGCACUUGAAAUACUUGGGUGUGACAGGUUAAGGUCUGUUGAUUGGCCUGUAAACCUGCCAUGUCUAACAAAGCUUCGAAUUAUAUGUUCUAGCAGUGGCAGUGAGGUUCUUGUUUCAUCACUCCCAAGGACUCCGGCUAUCCGUCACUUGGGUUUAAGCAAGUGUGAACAAAUAGAGGUACGGGGAUUGCCACAAACAGUGGAAACAAUUAGUGUUGGAGGAUGUAGAGGUGUAGAAUCAUUGAUGAAGGCAUUAAGAGAGAGCCAAACUUGUAGUCUUCAAAGCCUAUGUAUCAAUGAUUGUUCUUUGCCUAUAUCCUUGCCUACAGGGUGUCUCCCUGCUACCCUGACACAACUGCGAAUCAAUAAUUGUGAGAAAUUAGAAUUCCCAAUGCACCAUGACUCACUCAAAACGUCUCUUCAAAGCGUUUCCAUAUCAAAAAGUUGCGGGGGUUCACUUAUAUUCUUUCCCCUGGAUUUCUUUCCCAGCCUCAAUUAUCUCUGUUUUGAAGAGUGUGAAAAUCUAGAAUCUCUGAUGGUCUCAGAUGGGCUGCCAUACCAGCAUGGCCUAAUAUGUCUAUCUUCUCUGCGGAUCGAACGUUGCUUCAUGUUCAUAUCUUUUCCUAAUGGCGGAUUGCAUGCUCCCAAUCUAACUCAUCUUACAGUUCGAGAUUGCAAGAAAUUAAAGGAGCUGCCUGAGCAAAUGGCUAACCUCCUUCCAUCUCUGGAGGAUUUUACGAUCACUGAUUGUCCAGAGGUGGAGUCAUUUCCGGAAGGUGGUCUACCCUCUAAUCUUUGUUAUCUUUUCAUUAAAAACUGCUCUAAACUCAUUGCACAGCGAUCCAAGUGGAAUUUACAAAAGCUCCAAGCUCUUAAAUACUUUGAAAUCGUAGGAGGUGAAGGCGUGGAAUCGUUUCCAGAGGAGGGGCUGCUGCCUUCAACUCUUACCCAUCUUUGGAUGGGUGGAUUUGCAAGUCUUAAGAGGCUGGACAUAAAGGAGCUUCAACAACUUACUUCUCUUACAUUUCUAGAAAUCAAGAAGUGCCCUCAAUUACAGAAUCUGCCACAACAGAAGCUUCCUACCUCUCUUAAUGAUUUAUUUAUCAACAAAUGUCCAAUCCUGAAAGAAAGGUGUCAGAGGGAUAAAGGGAAAGACUGGAACAAGAUUUCUCACAUCCCCGGCAUCCAUAUCGAUUAUAAGGUCAUUUGAUCAGAUAUGUGCAACUGACUACUCUUUACAUUCCUGGUAGGUUGGUACGUAACAAUAUCUUGAACUUGUUGUCCCACUUGUGCUUAUUUCUCGAAUAUUCAAUUGUUUUGUGACUGCAUGCAUGCAUAAACCCCAGAAAAUUCACCGACAUCUUUCUUAUUCCAAAAUUUACCCUUUUUUUUUAAAUUUGUUUUAACUGCUUUGUUCUUUUGGCAUUAUCUACAUUUAUACUAAGCUAUAUAUUAAAAAAUUCCAAUCAUUGUCAAUCCUUUCCCUAUUAGUGCAACUUCAAUUUGCAUGUCAAUGUUAAAAUUUUCUUUAAUAUUAUUGAGGUUUGAACAAUAUGGUUUUCCAACUUUCUUCAUAGUUAGGAUGUCUCUUCAUUGUCUGCUCUUCGGAUAGUCAUCUUUUCUGUUAGAAGUUUAACAACAUCACAGUUUUAUAUAUAACUAAAGAAGGUGAUACCAUUGGCUUAUAUAUUUAUUUAUUUUCUUACAAAUAUUGUUGAUAUUUUUGAGAUCUGGAUAUAUAAAACGUGCUCUAACCAAUAUUUUUCUGAUUGAUAAAUAGAUUGAGGGCAUCAUUAUGAUUGAAUUCUUAAUGCUAAGACAUAUUUGUAGGUUCAAACUCCUUAAACAUCCAUUCAAUUCUUGGUGCGGUACCUUUAUAAAUGAAUAUGGAAUGUUGCAGAAGACAUAUUGGAUGAGAAUUCACAACAAAGCUUUUGUCUUCCUUGAUGCUCUUCCUCAUUUAUUUUGGGUUCAUGUGUUCACAAAUCCUGCAAGAUGGCAACAAGUGCAAAUAAAAUUUUCAAAUUCUGAGUUUACUUGUUUGGGAAAUUUAGAUAUUUGUGCAUGCUACAUUUGCAAAUACUAGUUAUUUCUAAUUAUGGUGUUGUAUUAAGAAUUAUUAGUUUUACAUUUACAUUUAUCAUGGAUAUUAAUGAUGAUUUAAAGACUUUAGUUCA
Molecule: RNA transcript, 5199 nt
Organism: Ziziphus jujuba (common jujube)
Lineage: Eukaryota; Viridiplantae; Streptophyta; Magnoliopsida; Rosales; Rhamnaceae
Gene name: putative disease resistance protein At3g14460
Exons: 2
Source: RefSeq, a predicted model, not a curated record